AACCUGGUUGAUCCUGCCAGUAGUCAUAUGCGUUGUGCUCAAAGAUUAAGCCAUGCAUGUCUCAGUAUAAGCUUCUACACGGCGAAACUGCGAAUGGCUCAUUAAAACAGUUAUAGUUUAUUUGAUGGUCAACAAUUACAUGGAUAACCGUGGUAAUUCUAGAGCUAAUACAUGCGCCCAAACCCAACUUCGUGGAAGGGUUGUGUUUAUUAGAUACAGAACCAACCCAGGCUCCGCCUGGCAUUGAGGUGAUUCAUAAUAACCGAACGGAUCGCAUGGUUCGCCGGCGACAAAUCAUUCAAGUUUCUGACCUAUCAGCUAUCGUCGGUAGGGUAUUGGCCUACCGUGGCAAUGACGGGUAACGGAGAAUUAGGGUUCGAUUCCGGAGAGGGAGCCUGAGAAACGGCUACCACAUCUAAGGAAGGCAGCAGGCGCGCAAAUUACCCAAUCCUGACAUAGGGAGGUAGUGACAAGAAAUACCAAUACGGGGCAUCCAUGUCUCGUAAUUGGAAUGAGUAAACUUUAAAUCACUUUACGAGUAUCAAUUGGAGGGCAAGUCUGGUGCCAGCAGCCGCGGUAAUUCCAGCUCCAAUAGC
This 596-nucleotide ribosomal RNA is filed under the name uncultured marine eukaryote. RNAcentral describes it as "SSU rRNA". It matches the Rfam family "Eukaryotic small subunit ribosomal RNA", at positions 1 to 598 of the family's 1831-position model. The record is from RNAcentral.